GGUUGGAUGGCCGAGCGGUCUAAGGCGCCAGACUAAGGAUCAGCUCCAAUUCGAAGCUUAUGUUGCACACUGUGUAAUCUGGUCCUCCGGGGCGUGGGUUCGAAUCCCACUCCAAUCA
Non-coding RNA from Mycena epipterygia, 118 nucleotides. The record is from the annotation of a GenBank genome assembly. Lineage: Eukaryota; Fungi; Basidiomycota; Agaricomycetes; Agaricales; Mycenaceae.